Molecule: long non-coding RNA, 248 nt
Filed under: Elaeis guineensis (African oil palm)
Lineage: Eukaryota; Viridiplantae; Streptophyta; Magnoliopsida; Arecales; Arecaceae
Description: long non-coding RNA (EGUI_LNC065685)
Source: RNAcentral
AUAUGGUAUAGUAAGAAAUUGAGUCUUCAUCAUCUCAAGAUUUGAAAAUAUCCAGCCUAUAUCAAGCAACAGUAGGUAGACAUGUUAGAGGCUAGAUCUAUGAGAGCUCAUUUCAUAUGAUAUCCUAAAGAGUUUGGGAUACUACUUUUUCUUUUCAAAGGAUCACAAUGUGAUUGUGAGCCAUCAUGCUAUCUUUCUGAAAAAAUAGUUUAUUCAAGAUGAAGUAGUAGGAGAAAAGUUGAGCUCGA